This is a long non-coding RNA of Oncorhynchus tshawytscha (Chinook salmon), 877 nucleotides long. The record is from Ensembl. NCBI's taxonomy places the organism in Eukaryota, Metazoa, Chordata, Actinopteri, Salmoniformes, Salmonidae.
CCAAUUCCCUAUAUAGUGCACUACAUUAGACCAGAGCCCAAUUCCCUAUAUAGUGCACCUCUUUAGACCAGGGCCCUAUUCCCUAUAUAGUGCACUACUUUAGACCAGGGCCCUAUUCCCUAUAUAGUGCACUACUUUAGACCAGAGCCCUAUUCCCUAUAUAGUGCACUACUUUAGACCAGAGCCCUAUUCCCUAUAUAGUGCACUACUUUAGACCAGGGCCCUAUUCCCUAUAUAGUGCACUACUUUAGAGCAGAGCACCACAUAGUAAAUAGGGUGCCAUUUGGGACACUACAUGUCAGAGGAGAACUUAUGUUGCCAAAAAUGUUUUCAAAGAAAUGUGCAUGAAUUUAUAUAGCCUUUAAGAGACUAUUAGAAGAGGGAGGGGGGGGUGUCUGUGUGUUUGUAGGUGUGAGAGUGAAUGAGUGUUUGUAGGUGUGUGUGUGUUUGUGUGUGUAGGUGUGUGUGUGUGUGUGACUACCACAGCCCUUGUACAAAUUAACAGUUGUAGAUUUUUCCCCAAACAAAGAGGUGGGAACAUAACGCACCCCGUCUUUGCCCUUCCCCUUCCCAGUGCUCCAACCAAUCUCGUCUCUCCUUGAGAUCUGGAACGUUCACAGACUCCGCCCCCAGACCCCUCCCCUCUACAAACUGUCGGGCGACGGAACACGCUGUUGCCUUCCUUCUACGUUGUCACGGCAACAGAACAAUGAGCUCGGAACUCUAUAGAAUGGAGGUGAUUCUAACCCGGAACUCUCCUACUGUAAACAAUACCUACAUAAUGAGGAUGAUCGUCCAUUGUACAUAGAUCCACCUGUGCUCUGACUUGUCUUGUAUUGCUACUGAAGUUAACCCCAGUUAAACUGUGUAACCAAAC